RNAcentral lists this small nuclear RNA (22 nucleotides) under Arabidopsis thaliana (thale cress). RNAcentral's name for it is "snRNA_09780". The record is from RNAcentral. Lineage: Eukaryota; Viridiplantae; Streptophyta; Magnoliopsida; Brassicales; Brassicaceae.
UUCACUCUCUCAUAAGUGUCUC